UACGUAGGCAGCAAGCGUUGUUCGGAGUUACUGGGCGUAAAGGGUGUGUAGGCGGUUUUCUAAGUCUGGUGUGAAAUCUCCCGGCUCAACUGGGAGGGUGCGCCGAAAACUGGAAGGCUAGAGUGCGGGAGAGGUAAGCGGAAUUCCUGGUGUAGCGGUGAAAUGCGUAGAUAUCAGGAGGAACACCUGCGGUGUAGACAGCUUACUGGACCACGACUGACGCUGAGACACGAAAGCGUGGGUAGCAAACAGG
RNAcentral lists this ribosomal RNA (253 nucleotides) under uncultured bacterium. RNAcentral describes it as "partial 16S ribosomal RNA". It matches the Rfam family "Bacterial small subunit ribosomal RNA", at positions 524 to 776 of the family's 1533-position model. The record is from RNAcentral.